CCUACGGGUGGCAGCAGUGAGGAAUAUUGGUCAAUGGGCGGGAGCCUGAACCAGCCAAGUCGCGUGAGGGACGACGGUCCUAUGGAUUGUAAACCUCUUUUGUCGGGGAACAAAGGCGCCCACGGGUGGGCGGAUGAGUGUACCCGAAGAAAAAGCAUCGGCUAACUCCGUGCCAGCGGCCGCGGUAAUACGGAGGAUGCGAGCGUUAGCCGGAUUUAUUGGGUUGAAAGGGUGCGUGGGCGGACAGUCAAGUCAGCGGUAAAAAUGCGGUGCCCAGCGCCGUACAGCCGUUGAAACUGGCAGUCUGGAGUGGGCGAGAGGGAUGCGGAAUGCGUGGUGUAGGAGUGAAAUGCAUAGAUAUCACGCGGAACGCCGAUGGCGAAGGCAGCAUACCGGCGCCCGACUGACGCUGAGGCACGAAAGCGUGGGUAUCGAACAGGAUUAGAUACCCGUGUAGUC
Molecule: ribosomal RNA, 459 nt
Filed under: uncultured bacterium
Lineage: Bacteria
Description: partial 16S ribosomal RNA
Rfam family: Bacterial small subunit ribosomal RNA
Source: RNAcentral